RNAcentral lists this ribosomal RNA (751 nucleotides) under uncultured Actinomyces sp. RNAcentral describes it as "bacterial SSU rRNA". It matches the Rfam family "Bacterial small subunit ribosomal RNA", at positions 28 to 776 of the family's 1533-position model. Lineage: Bacteria; Bacillati; Actinomycetota; Actinomycetes; Actinomycetales; Actinomycetaceae. The record is from RNAcentral.
GACGAACGCGGGCGGCGUGCUUAACACAUGCAAGUCGAACGCUGAAGCCCAGCUUGCUGGGUGGAUGAGUGGCGAACGGGUGAGUAACACGUGAGUAACCUGCCCCCUUCUUUGGGAUAACGCCCGGAAACGGGUGCUAAUACUGGAUAUUCACUGAUCUUCGCAUGGGGGUUGGUGGAAAGGUUUUUUCUGGUGGGGGAUGGGCUCGCGGCCUAUCAGCUUGUUGGUGGGGUGAUGGCCUACCAAGGCUUUGACGGGUAGCCGGCCUGAGAGGGUGACCGGUCACAUUGGGACUGAGAUACGGCCCAGACUCCUACGGGAGGCAGCAGUGGGGAAUAUUGCACAAUGGGCGAAAGCCUGAUGCAGCGACGCCGCGUGAGGGAUGACGGCCUUCGGGUUGUAAACCUCUUUCGCUCAUGGUCAAGCCGCAACUGUGGGUUGUGGUGAGGGUAGUGGGUAAAGAAGCGCCGGCUAACUACGUGCCAGCAGCCGCGGUAAUACGUAGGGCGCGAGCGUUGUCCGGAAUUAUUGGGCGUAAAGGGCUUGUAGGCGGUUGGUCGCGUCUGCCGUGAAAUCCUCUGGCUUAACUGGGGGCGUGCGGUGGGUACGGGCUGACUUGAGUGCGGUAGGGGAGACUGGAACUCCUGGUGUAGCGGUGGAAUGCGCAGAUAUCAGGAAGAACACCGGUGGCGAAGGCGGGUCUCUGGGCCGUUACUGACGCUGAGGAGCGAAAGCGUGGGGAGCGAACAGG